RNAcentral lists this ribosomal RNA (95 nucleotides) under Ancylomarina subtilis. Its description in RNAcentral is "partial 23S ribosomal RNA". It matches the Rfam family "Bacterial large subunit ribosomal RNA", at positions 2827 to 2925 of the family's 2925-position model. The record is from RNAcentral. Lineage: Bacteria; Pseudomonadati; Bacteroidota; Bacteroidia; Marinilabiliales; Marinifilaceae.
UUAAAGGGUCGUUGGAGACGACAACGUUGAUAGGUUGCAGAUGUAAAGGCAGUGAUGUCAAAGUCGAGCAAUACUAAUUACCCAUAAGCUUAUGA